RNAcentral lists this ribosomal RNA (606 nucleotides) under Bacillus sp. KF-61. RNAcentral describes it as "bacterial SSU rRNA". It matches the Rfam family "Bacterial small subunit ribosomal RNA", at positions 71 to 662 of the family's 1533-position model. The record is from RNAcentral. Lineage: Bacteria; Bacillati; Bacillota; Bacilli; Caryophanales; Bacillaceae.
GAAGGGAGCUUGCUCCCGGAUGUUAGCGGCGGACGGGUGAGUAACACGUGGGUAACCUGCCUGUAAGACUGGGAUAACUCCGGGAAACCGGAGCUAAUACCGGAUAGUUCCUUGAACCGCAUGGUUCAAGGAUGAAAGACGGUUUCGGCUGUCACUUACAGAUGGACCCGCGGCGCAUUAGCUAGUUGGUGGGGUAAUGGCUCACCAAGGCGACGAUGCGUAGCCGACCUGAGAGGGUGAUCGGCCACACUGGGACUGAGACACGGCCCAGACUCCUACGGGAGGCAGCAGUAGGGAAUCUUCCGCAAUGGACGAAAGUCUGACGGAGCAACGCCGCGUGAGUGAUGAAGGUUUUCGGAUCGUAAAGCUCUGUUGUUAGGGAAGAACAAGUGCGAGAGUAACUGCUCGCACCUUGACGGUACCUAACCAGAAAGCCACGGCUAACUACGUGCCAGCAGCCGCGGUAAUACGUAGGUGGCAAGCGUUGUCCGGAAUUAUUGGGCGUAAAGGGCUCGCAGGCGGUUUCUUAAGUCUGAUGUGAAAGCCCCCGGCUCAACCGGGGAGGGUCAUUGGAAACUGGGAAACUUGAGUGCAGAAGAGGAGAGU